Molecule: long non-coding RNA, 3204 nt
Filed under: Ananas comosus (pineapple)
Lineage: Eukaryota; Viridiplantae; Streptophyta; Magnoliopsida; Poales; Bromeliaceae
Description: long non-coding RNA (ACOM_LNC004758)
Source: RNAcentral
UCUAGCUCCAAAAAUAUAUAUAUUCGUUUAGCAUUGUAUAAAUUCGCUCCGUUCAGAUUCGGAUUUGAAUCGUAUCUUUUGACAUCUCUAGUAAAGUUGUCCAGCCUGGCUUGGUAUGACCAUUGGCCAUGCCUUUUUUUGAAGACGCGUCUAGUUUUAUAGUGUUGCGAAAAAAUUUUAUGUCAAAUAAGGUCUAAUCAAUCAUUCAUCAGAUCUCAUCGCAUGUAAGGAUUUUAAAACGGCGAUGUAUAUAUGGUUAAAUCUUUUAAAAGGUUUUUGGAAUGGGCCUGAAACUCGUGUUUCAAACGGAGAAGCCAUUUUAUCAUGUAUAGAUAUUGUUAGUUAAUUCACGAAUUUUUAAAGAAAUAAAUUAAACGGCUGUAUUUGUAUUUUUCCAAAAAAUUCAAAAAAGCACGUGUUUUUUUGGUCAAAAAUACUUAUUUGCGAAUAAUUCGCGAGCUCCGAAUUAUUCGCCCAAAAAUACAGUUCCGCUCUCGUGCCCGCGCCAACGCCCCUGGGUCGCGGGCCUCACGGUCGCGGGUCACAGGCCUCGCGGCUCGCUCACGCUCACAGUCGAGGGUCGCAGGCCUCACAGCUCGCCCAAAACAGAAAAAACAAAACUCUUUCCAAACGUUCACCACGCCCAAAAUAGAAAAGAGAUGAAAAGAAAAAUCCUUUUCAAAUGGUUCGCCCUGCUCCCCCCGUAAAAAAAAUCAUUCGAUUAAAAAAAUUUAAUUUCUUAUAGACUAUCUUAAUCUCUUAUUUGCUUAAUUAUUUAUUUAUUUAUUUUGAGUCAUAAUAUAGUUUGUUAUUUUUUUUACUUAAUUAGCGAGCUUAUCUCAUCUCAAGCUUGGCUUGAAAUUAAUUUCAAACCUAAAUUUAGGCUUAAGCUCGGCUUGAAAUUAAUUCGAGCCGAGCUCGAGCGAGCCUAAUUUCGAGUCGAGCGAGCUCAAGCCCUAAACGAGCUGUUUGAAAUUCUUAACACCGUGCAAUCUAUAGUUUAAUUUUUAUAAAACAUUAUCUAAAAUUCCAUACAAAAAAUGUCUAAUAGCUCAACAUACAAAAUGAAUGCAUGAAAUACAAUAUUAUAAGAUUAAAAAAAAAGGAAAAGCGAUUCUGUGAGUGAGUGAAAAAGAGAGAAAAAGAGAGAAAUUAGAGUACAAUUUUGCUGGUUUGAUUUUGUGGGCCCAAUAAUCUAAAUUCUAUAUACAUAUAAUUAAAAUACAUAAUAUAUAUUAUUUUAUAUAAUUAAAAUAUAUAUUAUAUAUAAUUAUAUAGAGAGAGAGUUCGGCUACUAUACUCUUAUUAGUAUAGACCCCUUUAUACUCAUAAGUUUUCGAUUGUUAGAUCUAUACUUUUGACUAUUUCCAUCCGUAAAUCAUACUAUUCAACCAAUCAUCCACCCAAUCCUAGGGGACCACUAUCAUCCUAAUUGCACAUCCAACGGCCAAAAAUUUAUAAGUAUAAAAAGGUCUAUACUCAAAAGAGUAUAGUAGCCAUAGCCUAUAUAUAUAUAGAAUUAGAUUACUAUACUAUUAAUAGUACCAACCGCUUGUUAUUAAGUUUUCGGCCCUUAGAUGAAGGAAUGUGUGGUCAGGAUAAUUGUAGCCCCUUAGGGUUGAGGAGGUGAGUAGUUGAAUAGUAUGAUCUAAUGGAUGAAAAUGAUUAAAGAGGUAGAUCUAACGGUAGAAAACUCGAUAGCACCAAACGCUUGGUACUAUUGAUAGUAUAGUAACAGAACUCUAUAUAUAUAGAUAGAUCUAACGGCAGAUAACUCGAUAGCACAAAACGAUUGGUACUAUAAAUUGUAUAAUAGUCGGACUAUAUACAUAUAGAGAGAGAGUCCGGCUACUAUAUUAUCGAUAGUACCAAAUGCUUAGUACUGUCGAAUUUUUUACCGUUAGAUCUACCCCUUUGAGCAUUUUCACCCGAUAGAUCAUAUUAUUCAACUAAUCACCCNUUAAUAGCAUAAAUUUUGAGAGAAAAAAAUUUAAUUUAAUAGCUGAAUUUUUUAUUUCGAAUUUUUAAAGGAUGAACGUAUAAUAUCCGUAUAAAUCACGUAUAUGAAUAAUUGACGAAUUUGUGUUUUAGCCAUAUUUUUUAACGAAUUUAAAAAUAAAAAAAUAAAUUUUAUCCGAAUUAUAACUGUAUCGAAUUUUUGUCAAAUCCGAAUUAACUAUGGCACAGAUUUGAUAAUUUGUAUUUAAAUAUUCCAUACAAUUUUUGUCCGAUGCAUGCGGAAUGAGGAAGGUGCCUCACUUUGACCAGUACUUGGGUUUCUGCAUACGCGUGAGGUAGAUGACACAAAUUUUAAUCAAAUAUUAAAGAUAAAAUAAUCUUAUUGUCUUAGUUGCAUAAUCUACUCAAAUUGAAGUAUUAAACCCUGUAUCUCAAUCUCCACCGUUCGAUCUCUCCACCUUCUUUAGAUCGACGCACAAUAUCUUUUCUUUCAACACGUAGCUCCAAAUAUUAUAUAUUAUUACUAGCAAGUAACCCGUAAGAUAUGUAGAUUAAGAAGCAUUGUGGAGAACCCGAGCAAAACAGCAUUGGCUACAGGAGGGUGACAAUAAUACCAAAUUCUUCCAUGCUGUAGCCAAUGGCCGGAUGAGAACAAACAGAAUUGACGUGAUCGAAGAGAGUGGGACGGUGCAUCACUCUGAAGAGGAUAAACAGAAUGUCUUAUUUCAAAAUUUUAAAAAGCUUUACUCAUCGGAUGAGUUGGCUCCAUCAUCAUUUGGGGACUGGAGUGAGCUUUUCAGGAUGACGCGGGUUAGCCCUACCGAUCAUGUGCNUUUAUCAAGUGGCUUGUUUGUCCUCUUUUUAUUUGUUAUUCACUUGUGCUGUUCCCAGUUAAAUAAAACUUGCCUAUACGUCGAGUGUUCUAGCUCCAAAAAUAUAUAUAUUCGUUUAGCAUUGUAUAAAUUCGCUCCGUUCAGAUUCGGAUUUGAAUCGUAUCUUUUGACAUCUCUAGUAAAGUUGUCCAGCCUGGCUUGGUAUGACCAUUGGCCAUGCCUUUUUUUGAAGACGCGUCUAGUUUUAUAGUGUUGCGAAAAAAUUUUAUGUCAAAUAAGGUCUAAUCAAUCAUUCAUCAGAUCUCAUCGCAUGUAAGGAUUUUAAAACGGUGAUGUAUAUAUGGUUAAAUCUUUUAAAAGGUUUUUGGAAUGGGCCUGAAACUCGUGUUUCAAACGGAGAAGCCAUUUUAUC